GCUAGUCACUGCUGUCUUCAUGUCCCUCUCCAAGGCGGGAGGAAUCUUUUUUCGAAGAUGCUUAAUGGAAGGCUUCAGAGCAUGGUUUGAUAUGCCUCUGCUCAUGUUUGGGAAUUUGUGCACGUUCUCCAUAACCUUUAGAAGUUCUGAUUUCAUCAUCUAUAAAGUAGGGACAUCAGUAAUGACUACCUCAUAGGCUUAUUGAGAGAAUUAAAUAAGUUAAUAUAUGGAAAGUGUUUAUAACAUAGCCAGCAUGAAAAAUAAUUGAUAUAAGCAGUUUUUGUUAUUAACAGUCUAAAAUGUCCCAGAAGGAGGGCAUAAAACUCAACAGCAGUAUUUAACCACAGUGAUUACAAUGAUGACAUUGGCAUUUAGAUUUAAUUCCUGAAAAUCUAAAGCUUAUAUAAUAUUCUCCCCCUAGUCAAAAAGUAGAUAGUCUUCAAAAUUAAACCCAGC
This 456-nucleotide long non-coding RNA is filed under the name Dasypus novemcinctus (nine-banded armadillo). RNAcentral's name for it is "lncRNA (ENSDNOG00000052186.1)". The record is from RNAcentral. Lineage: Eukaryota; Metazoa; Chordata; Mammalia; Cingulata; Dasypodidae.